CAGCCCAUUUGCCCUCGCACCGCACCCCCUCCAGACCACCAAUGUCCGCCUACCACAGCAGCAACCCUGUCGAGGCCCGCCGCGCCGAGUGCGCGCGCCUGCAGGCCAAGUACCCCGGCCACGUCGCCGUGGUUGUCGAGGCGGCCGAAAAGGCCGGCAGCAAGGCGCACUUCCUCGCGCUGCCGCGCGACGCCACCGUCGCCGAGCUCGAGGCGGCCGUGCGCCAGGCGCUCAGCACCAGCGUCAAGAAGGUGACGCUCGCCAUCGAGGGCUCCGCCCCGGCGGUGACCGCCGCGGUCGGCGACAUCGCCGACGCCUGCAAGCGGGACGACGGCUUCCUGUACGUGAGCGUGCGCACCGAGCAGGCCAUGGGCGGCAUCGCCGGUCUCUGCUUCGCCAGCGACUCCGGCGGUAUGUAACCAGCGCGGCCUUCGCGCUUCCCAUCCUCUCUGUUCGUCCUCCCCUCACCCCUCCCCUCUCCUCCCAGUGACUUUGUCCUGCUUGGAAAAUCGCAGCGUCGCUGCCGUCUUCAUGUGUGAUGUUUUCUCGACUUAUCUCAUUUCGCGUGCAUGCGCGUGUGGCGCCUCCCCUCAGCCCAUACGCGAGCUGGUUCCUGGGCCGCAGUGUCUACGCAGGCACUCCACACACGCACGCGCGCACCCCUGCCCCGCCGCGGCGUGAAACUUGUGUGCCACCCAUGUGAACACGCCCUCUCUCUCUUUCCGUUCGUCAUCUUCUUGUGCUGCGGGGGUCGUGCUGUCGCUGCGCAGGCAGCCGGCAGCGCACACCGCCCUCCCUCCAUGUGUACAGCCCACUCGCAGUCCUAGCUGCCCCUCCCUACCCACCACCACCACCACCACCACACACACAAGCACGCAUACCUUGACCGCCAACGCCACCCCGCUGCGCUGCAGACGCCGUCGCGUCACGCCCGCCCUUCGCACCAGCGGCCCCGCGGCAGCCCCGCCGGCCGCUCUUGCAGCGGCGCACCGGCCCUGCAUCUGCCUGCUAUUGCAUGACCCCUCUCCCCUGCCACUCCUCGCCCUGCCUCCCUCCCUCCCUCCCCCUCUGCGCCGCACCGCUGCACGCAG
Molecule: unclassified non-coding RNA, 1091 nt
Filed under: Leishmania donovani
Lineage: Eukaryota; Euglenozoa; Kinetoplastea; Trypanosomatida; Trypanosomatidae
Description: gene:LdHU3.19.0960(CDS-product:ATG8/AUT7/APG8/PAZ 2_putative)
Source: RNAcentral